AACGAACGCUGGCGGCAGGCCUAACACAUGCAAGUCGAGCGCGCCCUUCGGGGUGAGCGGCGGACGGGUGAGUAACGCGUGGGAACGUUCCCUUUUCUACGGAAUAGCCUCGGGAAACUGAGAGUAAUACCGUAUACGCCCUUUGGGGGAAAGAUUUAUCGGAAAAGGAUCGGCCCGCGUUGGAUUAGGUAGUUGGUGGGGUAAUGGCCUACCAAGCCGACGAUCCAUAGCUGGUUUGAGAGGAUGAUCAGCCACACUGGGACUGAGACACGGCCCAGACUCCUACGGGAGGCAGCAGUGGGGAAUCUUAGACAAUGGGGGCAACCCUGAUCGAGCCAUGCCGCGUGAGUGAUGAAGGCCUGAGGGUUGUAAAGCUCUUUCAGCUGGGAAGAUAAUGACGGUACCAGCAGAAGAAGCCCCGGCUAACUCCGUG
Molecule: ribosomal RNA, 433 nt
Filed under: uncultured bacterium
Lineage: Bacteria
Description: partial 16S ribosomal RNA
Rfam family: Bacterial small subunit ribosomal RNA
Source: RNAcentral